Molecule: ribosomal RNA, 519 nt
Filed under: uncultured bacterium
Lineage: Bacteria
Description: partial 16S ribosomal RNA
Rfam family: Bacterial small subunit ribosomal RNA
Source: RNAcentral
GACGAACGCUGGCGGCGUGCCUAACACAUGCAAGUCGAGCGAGUCUGCCUUGACUAUUGGCGUGCUUGCACUCAGCGAGACAAGAUAUACGCUAGCGGCCGACGGGUCUGUAAGAAGUGGGUAACCAGACCGAGAGAUCGCGUUAACCCCUGGAGACAGAGCCUGUUACUGGAUAACAACAGAUGAUGCCUCUUAUCAGUUUAAAAGCCGGUUCUGCCAUCGUUCGUUGAUGGACCUGCGGUGCAUUAGCUAGUCGGUAGGGUAACGGCCUACCAAGGCUAGUAUGCUUAGCGGAGAUGAGGGAGUGGUCGGCCACAUUGUGACUGAGACACGGCCCAAACACCUGCGGGAGGCAGCAGUAGGGAAUCUUACACAAUGGAGGAAAGUCUGAUCGAGCAACGCCGCGUGAGGGAAGAAGGAGUUCUGCUCGGAAAGCUCUGUUGGUGGUGAGGAUGGACAGGUGUAUUAACUGACCUUUUUUUGACGGUAAUCAAAUAAAAAGCUACGGCUAACUACGUG